CCCUUAGAUGUUCUGGGCCGCACGCGUGCUACACUGAGUGGAUCAGCGGGUCAGGUUGCGCGAAAGCGUUUCCUAAUCUUUAAAUCCGCUCGUGAUGGGGAUUGACGGUUGCAAUUUUCUGUCAUGAACGAGGAAUACCUUGUAAGCGCGGGUCAUCAUCCCGCGCUGAAUACGUCCCUGCCCUUUGUACACACCGCCCGUCGCUCCUACCGAUUGAGUGGUCCGGUGAGGCUUUGGGAUCUGAGCGGAAAGAGCGUUUCGCUGUUUCUGCUCGGGAAACUCAGUCGAACCUUAUCAUUUAGAGGAAGGAGAAGUCGUAACA
Molecule: ribosomal RNA, 322 nt
Filed under: uncultured eukaryote
Lineage: Eukaryota
Description: partial 18S ribosomal RNA
Rfam family: Eukaryotic small subunit ribosomal RNA
Source: RNAcentral